GAUGAAAUAGCAUUCUCUGCUGAUCAAAAUAUUGAGAUAGCUUACAAUGGAUGUUAAAGAUAGACUAUGAGUGAUGCUGUUAUUGUCUGAAAAUUCAUUUGCUGCAGACUUACCACCCAUACCUUAGAAUGUAUGGGAGAUAGGACCUUCAAAGAGGUGAUUAGUUAAAAUGAGGCCACUAGGGUAGGCCCUAAAAUUCAAUCUAACUGGUGUUCUUUAAAGAGGAAAUUUGGACACAUAGCAAGUCACUAGGAAUGCAUGCACACAGAGAAAAAAUUAUGUGAGGACAGAAGAAGAAAGUGACCAUCCGCAAGGAGAGAAGCCUGUGUAGAAACCAAACCUGCCAACACCUUGAUCUUGGACUCAAACCUCCAAAACUCAUCUACAGCAGAAGACCUCAAUAAUGCAUAAGAACAUCUGGAAGUACGGUAAUUUCAGCUAUCAGAGAUAAGAAUUGACACAGAACAGGGUCCAGUCUAUGUCAUGCUGCGUUUAGAGAAUACCUUGGCUGUGCUUCUUCUGCACAGUGCUUUCCUUUUCUGCAAAGGAUACUGAGGUUUCUCUUGGUGUGAAUAAUGGCACAUUUCAGCUUACAUCAGCUCCUCAGAGGGAACUGCAAAAAUGAAAUGAAGAUGUCUUUGACUCCAAAGCACUGAGAGAGCAAAAGAAAAGAUUUUUACUUGGGAUGGUGAAGAAUAGAUUUUAAAUGAACAUACAGACGUGGGAAAGGAGGUGCCUUGUGCACUUACAAAACUAUGAUUUUGGGCCCUUCACAUGAUUCAAGACUAUGAUAGAGGAAGAAUGAGAACAUUUGAUUAAUUGAAAUUUCAAUGAAUGGUCACUAUGCCAAGUGUAUAGAGAAAAAUGUAUGUUAGCAAUGCCCUUAACAAUCUUACAAAUGAUGAGCAGUUGGGCCACGAAAAAUGUCCAGACAUUUCUUGCAAUUCUACAACUUGAAAUUCCUGAGUAGUUUUAUUAUACCAAAAUGACUUAAUUAUGUUCAUUUUUAUUUUUAUUUUUUUUUCAUUCUACCAAUGUCAGUUUAUUGUAGGAAGAGUGUUUUUCUGACUCCCUUUUCUUCUCCAAAUCCUUGUGGUGGCAUUUCUCCUAUAAAAAAAAAAAGAAAGAAAGAAAGAAAAAGAAAAGAAAAUAUGACCACAUAGCCCCAGAAGCCUUCUUUCUACUGCUUAUUUUUACAAUAUAUUCUUAUAAAAAUUUUCAAAUGCAUAGCAAGUGACAUCCAUGUUGCCAUAACCUAUAUUAUACCAUUCAUAUUUUACUAUACUCAUUUUAUCAUAUAUCUAUCCGUCAUCAAUUCAUCUUGUAAUUUUUAAUGUUUUUUCAAGUGAAUUGUAGACACUAUUACAUUUCUCUUAAAAGCUUCAACAUUUGGUUACUAUUAAUCGAAGUUUAAUAUUUAUUUAUUUUCUCAUGGUAAAUUUUAAAUAUAACAGAAUGUGUACUUGUUGAGUUUUGAUAAAUGCAGAUAUUGAUACAACCCAAACCCCUAUCAAGAGAUAGGAACAUAACUAUCACCCCAGACAAUUUCUUCAUUCCCUUUCCAAUCAAUAUUCUACCUCCACUCCCAACAGAGGAAACUGCUCUUUUGAUUUUUUUCCAAUAAAAAUUAGUUUUGUUUCUGUUAGAAUUUCAUAUAAAACAGAAUCAUAUAGUAUGCACUACUUUGUGUCUGGCUUAUAUAACUCUUUCAAACGGUUUUUGAGAUUUACCCAUGUUGUCACAUAUAUCAGUAAGUUUUUUUUAAUGGCUUAAUAAUACUACAUUUUUCUGAAUACACAGAAGUUUAUCUAUUCUCCUAUAAAUGGACAGUUGGGUUAUUUUGAAUUUGAGGUAUUAUGAAUAAAGCGGAAAUAGAUAUUCUUUUCAUAGACUUGUUAUUUCUUUCGAAUACAUACCUAUGAGUAGUAUUGCUGGCUCAUAAAGUAUAUGGUUAUUACAAAAAAAUGACAGACUUUUAAACAAAAUUAUUGUACCAUUUUAUAUUCUCACCAACAAUAAACAAAA
Long non-coding RNA from Pteropus alecto (black flying fox), 2025 nucleotides. RefSeq lists it as uncharacterized. The transcript is spliced from 4 exons. The record is from RefSeq and is a predicted model, not a curated record. NCBI's taxonomy places the organism in Eukaryota, Metazoa, Chordata, Mammalia, Chiroptera, Pteropodidae.